Molecule: ribosomal RNA, 280 nt
Filed under: uncultured bacterium
Lineage: Bacteria
Description: partial 16S ribosomal RNA
Rfam family: Bacterial small subunit ribosomal RNA
Source: RNAcentral
GAUGAACGCUGGCGGUAUGCUUUACACAUGCAAGUCGUACGGAAGUGUUAAAACUUUAGUGGCGGACGGGUGAGUAACACGUGAGAAUUUACCUUUAGGAGGGAAUAACAGUUAGAAAUGACUGCUAAUGCCGCAUAUCAUAAAUAUGGAAGAAGAAAUUCGCCUAAAGAAAAGCUUGCGUCUGAUUAGCUAGUUGGUAAGGGUAAAGGCCUACCAAGGCGACGAUCAGUAGCUGGUUUGAGAGGACGACCAGUCACACUGGAACUGAGACACGGUCCAG